UCUGAUACCAGUGAAAAUGUAGUCUCGACAAACUGUCACGGACACAAAAUAGAGACUUGAAAUCUAAGAAGAAGUUCAAGAAGAAGUGGCAAAACUAGAUUAAACAGAUGAGUACAAGAACAACACCAGAAAGGUGAGCUAGAACUCCAAGAGAUGUGUUGUCGAGACUGAAGAACCCUUCAGCCUCGACUCCUAUAUAUACUACUGAAUAGGAAGCUUCUCGAGCUACUUCCGCUAACUAGGACGCUUCUCCA
RNAcentral lists this long non-coding RNA (254 nucleotides) under Physcomitrium patens. RNAcentral describes it as "long non-coding RNA (PPAT_LNC000086)". Lineage: Eukaryota; Viridiplantae; Streptophyta; Bryopsida; Funariales; Funariaceae. The record is from RNAcentral.